Cyprinus carpio carpio is the source of this 748-nucleotide long non-coding RNA. The record is from Ensembl. Lineage: Eukaryota; Metazoa; Chordata; Actinopteri; Cypriniformes; Cyprinidae.
CUCUGACCUCUGACCCCGGGACGCCCCCGCCGCAUGUGUUUUGGUUGUAAUUAGGGCGGCCGGUGCACCUGAUGUUGACCUGGGUCUCGCUGCGGGACGAUUGGCGUCACAGAAGGACGGAUGCUGGCUUUAUGUGCGGUGCUGUAAUUGCUUGUACUGUUGCACACAGAAAAUCACACAAUUACAGCAUCCAAGCGUGAUUUUGAGAUUUUCCGGAGAACAUGUGAGUGUGAAUAACAUCAGCUAUAUGUCGAGACGGUGCGAUCGCUGAGUGAGUGUCGUAAUGGCCCACGCUAGCGGUUUUUAGGAGAACCGACCCAGGAAUGUAGGACAGCGAGAAGUGCUCUGUUAUCUGUCAGCGGUUCUGCGGGCCAUCGCUGAGGAGCAAUCAUGAACACAAUCAUCUACAUAAACACACAGCAAACAUCUGUGACGUGACUGUUUGUGUCAGCUGGUCUUCUCCUCUGUGUGACUGGAGUUCAUACGGAUAAACUUUUUAUGUUAUGGCAAAUAAAUUACUGUUAUUCAGUAUUUUAAUUCAUGAUAAACUAAUAAUGUCUUAGUAUUACGAACACAUCAGUUCUUCAUUAAAAUAUAGAUCAGAUAUGGUCAUAAAUCUAAAAAUAAUAAGAUUAGUUAGCUUAUGAAAUAAACUGUAUUUUGAUUAGAGUAAAACGUUGUGAAAAAUUGCACUGAUCUGAAAAAAUCUGAAAAAGUAGAAAACGAAAAAAAAACUGGAAUAAAAGAG